CUUUUGACGGUAGAUCUCUUGGCUCACGCAUCGAUGAAGAACGCAGCCAGCUGCGAUAAGUAGUGUGAAUUGCAGAAUUCAGUGAAUCAUCGAAUCUUUGAACGCAAAUGGCGCUCUUGGGUUCUCCCAGGAGCAUGUCUGUCUGAGUGUC
Molecule: ribosomal RNA, 151 nt
Filed under: Astreopora incrustans
Lineage: Eukaryota; Metazoa; Cnidaria; Anthozoa; Scleractinia; Acroporidae
Description: partial 5.8S rRNA
Rfam family: 5.8S ribosomal RNA
About the family: 5.8S ribosomal RNA (5.8S rRNA) is a component of the large subunit of the eukaryotic ribosome. It is transcribed by RNA polymerase I as part of the 45S precursor that also contains 18S and 28S rRNA. Functionally, it is thought that 5.8S rRNA may be involved in ribosome translocation.
Source: RNAcentral